CCUACGGGGGGCUGCAGUGGGGAAUAUUGCACAAUGGGCGCAAGCCUGAUGCAGCCAUGCCGCGUGUGUGAAGAAGGCCUUCGGGUUGUAAAGCACUUUCAGCGGGGAGGAAGGCGGUGAGGUUAAUAACCUCAUCGAUUGACGUUACCCGCAGAAGAGGCACCGGCUAACUCCGUGCCAGCAGCGCGGUAAUACGGAGGGUGCAAGCGUUAAUCGGAAUUACUGGGCGUAAAGCGCACGCAGGCGGUCUGUCAAGUCGGAUGUGAAAUCCCCGGGCUCAACCUGGGAACUGCAUUCGAAACUGGCAGGCUAGAGUCUUGUAGAGGGGGGUAGAAUUCCAGGUGUAGCGGUGAAAUGCGUAGAGAUCUGGAGGAAUACCGGUGGCGAAGGCGGCCCCCUGGACAAAGACUGACGCUCAGGUGCGAAAGCGUGGGGAGCAAACAGGAUUAGAUACCCCGGUAGUC
Molecule: ribosomal RNA, 464 nt
Filed under: uncultured Klebsiella sp.
Lineage: Bacteria; Pseudomonadati; Pseudomonadota; Gammaproteobacteria; Enterobacterales; Enterobacteriaceae
Description: bacterial SSU rRNA
Rfam family: Bacterial small subunit ribosomal RNA
Source: RNAcentral